RNAcentral lists this long non-coding RNA (423 nucleotides) under Brassica napus (rape). RNAcentral describes it as "long non-coding RNA (BNAP_LNC023618)". The record is from RNAcentral. Lineage: Eukaryota; Viridiplantae; Streptophyta; Magnoliopsida; Brassicales; Brassicaceae.
AUCGUAAUGGAGUAUAGAUCCAAAUCACCAACCUCUUUUUACCAUUCUACAAGGAAACCCCCCACCACAGACAAUGUCGUCUCCACUCUCACAAACAAGUUCAUAAAAUAGAGGAACCUUGUAUAUGGUUCUGUCUUCUGUCUGGUUUAGCUUUUAACUGUUCCAAACCCUAGCAAGCAAAGGAUACCAAAGAGCAUUACCACAGUCUGUGGUGUUUCCGAAGUUGUGAGAAUCCGAAACGGCGCACGACUCUUUUCUUGACUGAGUCGGCGACGGAUUAUGAAGGGAACCGCCACGAGUCGCGGCUACGGUCGAACUGAAAAGAAAGUCCCAACAAUUGGGCCAGGCUAAAAAGGCCCAAUAUAAUCAAAUACUUAAAAAAAAAAAAAAAGUCCAACAAAUAUCAAUCAAAUCAAAUCUCCC